CAUUAAAACAGUUAUAGUUUAUUUGAUAGUGCAAAUUACAUGGAUAACCGUGGUAAUUCUAGAGCUAAUACAUGCGCAAAUACCGGACGCAAGAAUGGUAGCAUUUAUUAGAUUUAACCAUCACAUGGUGAAUCAUAGUAACUUAGCUGACCGCGUGUAUACGUGGUAAAUCAUUCAAGUUUCUGCCCUAUCAGCUUUCGAUGGUAGUGUAUUGGACUACCAUGGCAGUCACGGGUAACGGAGAAUUAGGGUUCGAUUCCGGAGAGGGAGCCUGAGAAACGGCUACCACAUCUAAGGAAGGCAGCAGGCGCGUAAAUUACCCAAUCCCGAUUCGGGGAGGUAGUGACAAGAAAUAGCAACUCGUGCGGGUUUCCGUUACGGGAUUGCAAUGAGAUAAGUCCAAAUCCGUAAACGAUUAACAAUUGGAGGGCAAGUCUGGUGCCAGCAGCCGCGGUAAUUCCAGCUCCAAUAGCGUAUACUUAAGUUGUUGCAGUUAAAAAGCUCGUAGUUGAAAUUCGAGUCAGUUACUAGUUGGCUUUUCGUCAGUUAGUUAAUUGAUUCUCCGUCUACAAUCCCUUUUGCGCUUUAGGGUUGCAGCUGGGCGAGUAGACAAUUUACCUUGAAAAAAUUAGAGUGUUCCAGGCAGGUCUUCGCCGGAAUACAUUAGCAUGGAAUAAUGGAAUAGGACUUGGGUCUUUUGUUGGUUUUAGGACUUGAGUAAUGAUUAAUAGGGACAGAUGGGGGCAUUAGUAUUUAAUUGUCAGAGGUGAAAUUCUUGGAUUUAUUAAAGACUAACUUAUGCGAAAGCAUUUGCCAAGGAUGUUUUCAUUAAUCAAGAACGAAAGUUAGGGGAUCAAAGACGAUCAGAUACCGUCGUAGUCUUAACUAUAAACUAUACCGACUCGAGAUCGGAAGGGUAAUAUAUUAGUCCCUUUCGGCAUCGUAAGAGAAAUCAAAGUCUUUGGGUUCUGGGGGGAGUAUGGUCGCAAGGCUGAAACUUAAAGGAAUUGACGGAAGGGCACCACCAGGAGUGGAGCCUGCGGCUUAAUUUGACUCAACACGGGGAAACUUACCAGGUCAAAACAUGGAUGGGAU
This 1095-nucleotide ribosomal RNA is filed under the name Paramecium sp. aOmb2. RNAcentral describes it as "SSU rRNA". It matches the Rfam family "Eukaryotic small subunit ribosomal RNA", at positions 99 to 1240 of the family's 1831-position model. The record is from RNAcentral. Lineage: Eukaryota; Ciliophora; Oligohymenophorea; Peniculida; Parameciidae.